RNAcentral lists this long non-coding RNA (337 nucleotides) under Phasianus colchicus (ring-necked pheasant). Its description in RNAcentral is "lncRNA (ENSPCLG00000000824.1)". The record is from RNAcentral. Lineage: Eukaryota; Metazoa; Chordata; Aves; Galliformes; Phasianidae.
UGGAGGUCCUUCCUCUAGAGUUUUACAGUGAGCCCAGGACAAGGGUAAGCACUCUAUUUAACCUUUUGUUGGUAUAAUAACAUGCUUAGCCAAACUCUCUUGUUUAUUUCAUAAUUAUAACAUCUGUAUAUUCAUUGAUUAUGCAUUUAGUUUAUGCAUGGACUGAAAUACUGCCUUGUGCAUUGCUUGCUCACAAAAUUGAUGACUCUUCCCCACCAUGUGAUACCAUUUUGAAAUAAGUGAAGGAUGGUGUCUAUAUUCAGGAAGGAUGUGCAGGAAGGAUGACCGCAGAAUCAGGGAAUCUUUUAAGCUGGAAAAGAUCCAUGAGAUCACCAAG